GAGAACAAAGGAAGGAGGAAGUAACUGGUGGAAUGCUGAGAAAGCAUUUCAGUGUGCGGCAUCAUCAUGCAAGCUCUGUAAGAGGAGAGUAAGAUCAGUACUCCUACUUGUAAAUGAAAGAGAAGAAAACAAAAACAAGCAAAUUCCUUCUAAGGUGUGAGGAACACGAGUAAACAGAGAAAUCACCUAAGGAGAAAACAGGAAGCAGAUUUGAAACUGUGGCCACCAACGACACGAGGGAGCGCAAAACCCAGCCCACUUGCCAGGGAGGCUGGCAGAGCCCACACCCAGUCUGGUGCCCUGGUCGGUUACAUUCUGCUUUUUGAAGCAGCGUUCAAAAUCAGUUGUGGAUCAAGUCAAGAUGAACUCUGAAACAAUACUUUAAAUACCCCUGGAUGAUUUUGAAGCUCCCUGCAGCAUUUUUAGAAGGUACCAAAUAAGAAAAACGUGGAUGAAGAUGGAGAAAGCAUACAAAACUUUUACACACUGGUUUGAAGCUGUCACCGCGCGGAACAUAAAGAACAGGCCAAGACCAGUGCAGGCAUCGACGACUUUCUCCAUUCAGAGCCUCCGCGCAUC
This 579-nucleotide long non-coding RNA is filed under the name Homo sapiens (human). RNAcentral's name for it is "HSALNT0355633". Lineage: Eukaryota; Metazoa; Chordata; Mammalia; Primates; Hominidae. The record is from RNAcentral.